UACAGCCAUAUCACAUUGAAACACUGGUUCUUGUUUGAUCACUGAAGUUAAGCAAUAUUGAGCCUGGUCAGUAAUUAGAUGAGUUACCGCUUGGGAAUACCAAGUGCUGUAAG
Molecule: non-coding RNA, 113 nt
Organism: Acanthosepion pharaonis
Lineage: Eukaryota; Metazoa; Mollusca; Cephalopoda; Sepiida; Sepiidae
Source: the annotation of a GenBank genome assembly